Musa acuminata AAA Group (dessert banana) is the source of this 832-nucleotide long non-coding RNA. RefSeq lists it as uncharacterized. NCBI's taxonomy places the organism in Eukaryota, Viridiplantae, Streptophyta, Magnoliopsida, Zingiberales, Musaceae. The transcript is spliced from 3 exons. The record is from RefSeq and is a predicted model, not a curated record.
GAUUCCAUUCCAUCUAAACGAUCUCUCUCCGGGGCCACGUGACCCGACCCAGUCGCAGCGCGCGAUUGCCCACGUUGCUGCUUCCCUUUCGCCACCGCCAGUCUACCUGCUCUCCCUUCGAUUCUUGGAUCAAAAGCAUUUGGAAUGGCGGAUUCAUCUGCACUCUGGGAAUCCGUCCCCUUCGAUUCUCGAAGGUGGCCGCGUCGGGGGCGAUCCCUAUGGGCCUUUACUCCUGGGAAUCCUUCCCCUUCUCCGAAGUGGGUUCCUGAAGAUAGAAUCACCCUUUUCACUUCUGAAGAGCUUAUUCAGAUAGGAGGAUCCUUCGUUCCUCAUCGAAUUCCUUUUAUGAAAGUUGUCGCGGCAGAGAAAGUGAGCAGCGGAGGGUUGCAGAAGAAGCUCGUUAUGACCAUCGCAGUGCCACUGCUUUGGGGCGUUCCACCUGCCUCUGGGACCCUCUGCGUUGCAGUUCGUAGUGGGGUUGGUAGGUAUUGUAGAAAAGAUAUAUCGGCGGUGGAACUUUUUUGUAAAUUACAAACAGUGUAUCGCGAGCAUCAGCAAAGUACAGGAGAUGUUAUGUACAAAUGACUCAAAAUAGGUCUCGGUAAGUUAUCCCAUUGUAUAUAUAAUCUUUUAUUUUUAGUUUUCAUCAGAGGAGAUUUCAAACCCUUUAAAAUAAGAAAAGCGACUUAAGUACAUUUGCAUCAUACUAGUGUUUUAGAUUUUUUUUUUUUAUUUGUUGUUCAAAGUAAUUCGAUCAUUUGGUAGAAGUUGGUAAAAAUAGGAAAACUAAAUCGAGAUUUAGUCUUGCAUUUUUUAUUUACUUUGGCAUUUC